Molecule: transfer RNA, 73 nt
Filed under: Bos taurus (domestic cattle)
Lineage: Eukaryota; Metazoa; Chordata; Mammalia; Artiodactyla; Bovidae
Also listed under: 1 other name
Rfam family: tRNA
About the family: Transfer RNA (tRNA) molecules are approximately 80 nucleotides in length. Their secondary structure includes four short double-helical elements and three loops (D, anti-codon, and T loops).
Source: Rfam by way of RNAcentral
UCCCUGGUGGUCUGGUGGCUAAGACUUUGAGUUCCCAAUGCAGGGAACCAGGGUUCAAUCCCUGGUCAGGGAA